Molecule: ribosomal RNA, 456 nt
Filed under: uncultured bacterium
Lineage: Bacteria
Description: bacterial SSU rRNA
Rfam family: Bacterial small subunit ribosomal RNA
Source: RNAcentral
AGAGUUUGAUCAUGGCUCAGAUUGAACGCUGGCGGCAGGCCUAACACAUGCAAGUCGAGCGGUAACAUUUCUAGCUUGCUAGAAGAUGACGAGCGGCGGACGGGUGAGUAAUGGCUGGGAACCUGCCCUAACGAGGGGGAUAACAGUUGGAAACGACUGCUAAUACCGCAUAAUGUCUUCGGACCAAAGGAGGGGCUCUUCGGACCUUUCGCGUUAGGAUGGGCCCAGUUGGGAUUAGCUUGUUGGUGAGGUAAUGGCUCACCAAGGCGACGAUCCCUAGCUGGUUUGAGAGGAUGAUCANCCACACUGGAACUGAGACACGGUUCAGACUCCUACGGGAGNCANCAGUGGGGAAUAUUGCACAAUGGGCGAAANCCUGAUGCAGCCAUGCCGCGUGUGUGAAGAAGNCCUUCGGGUUGUAAAGCACUUUCAGCAGUGAGGAAGGCAUAACAGUAA